Molecule: ribosomal RNA, 257 nt
Filed under: uncultured prokaryote
Description: partial 16S ribosomal RNA
Rfam family: Bacterial small subunit ribosomal RNA
Source: RNAcentral
UACGGAGGAUGCAAGCGUUAUCCGGAUUUAUUGGGUUUAAAGGGUGCGCAGGUUGUUUGAUAAGUCAGUGGUGAAAGUCUGUCGCUUAACGGUAGGAUUGCCAUUGAUACUGUUGGACUUGAAUAUGGAUGAGGUAGGCGGAAUGUGUAGUGUAGCGGUGAAAUGCAUAGAUAUUACACAGAACACCGAUUGCGAAGGCAGCUUACUAAACUACUACUGACGCUCAGGCACGAAGGCGUGGGGAUCAAACAGGAUUA